This 588-nucleotide ribosomal RNA is filed under the name Acinetobacter baumannii. RNAcentral's name for it is "partial 23S ribosomal RNA". It matches the Rfam family "Bacterial large subunit ribosomal RNA", at positions 1 to 637 of the family's 2925-position model. The record is from RNAcentral. Lineage: Bacteria; Pseudomonadati; Pseudomonadota; Gammaproteobacteria; Moraxellales; Moraxellaceae.
AGUCAAGUAAUUAAGUGCAUGUGGUGGAUGCCUUGGCAGUCAGAGGCGAUGAAAGACGUGAUAGCCUGCGAAAAGCUCCGGGGAGGCGGCAAAUAUCCUUUGAUCCGGAGAUGUCUGAAUGGGGGAACCCACCUACUUUAAGGUAGGUAUUGCAACAUGAAUACAUAGUGUUGCAAGGCGAACGAGGGGAAGUGAAACAUCUCAGUACCCUUAGGAAAAGAAAUCAAUUGAGAUUCCCUCAGUAGCGGCGAGCGAACGGGGAUCAGCCCAUUAAGUUAUGUGUGUUUUAGUGGAACGCUCUGGGAAGUGCGAACGUAGAGGGUGAUAUUCCCGUACACGAAAGGGCACACAUAAUGAUGACGAGUAGGGCGAGGCACGUGAAACCUUGUCUGAAUAUGGGGGGACCAUCCUCCAAGGCUAAAUACUCCUGACUGACCGAUAGUGAACCAGUACCGUGAGGGAAAGGCGAAAAGAACCCCUGUGAGGGGAGUGAAAUAGAUCCUGAAACCGCAUGCAUACAAGCAGUGGGAGCACCUUCGUGGUGUGACUGCGUACCUUUUGUAUAAUGGGUCAGCGACUUAUAUUCAG